AGGAGCGACCAUAUCAGCACUAAUGCACCGGAUUCCAUCGAAACGUCGAAGUUAAGUGCUUGAGUUGGAAUAGUUCUAAGGUGGGCUUGUCUUAUGACUUCCAUAGGUUCAGGCUAGUGGCUUGAC
Cephalotus follicularis is the source of this 126-nucleotide non-coding RNA. Lineage: Eukaryota; Viridiplantae; Streptophyta; Magnoliopsida; Oxalidales; Cephalotaceae. The record is from Rfam.